UACGUAGGGUGCAAGCGUUGUCCGGAAUUAUUGGGCGUAAAGAGCUCGUAGGCGGUCUGUCGCGUCGGUCGUGAAAACCUGGGGCUUAACCCUGAGCUUGCGGUCGAUACGGGCAUGACUGGAGUUCGGCAGGGGAGACUGGAAUUCCUGGUGUAGCGGUGAAAUGCGCAGAUAUCAGGAGGAACACCGGUGGCGAAGGCGGGUCUCUGGGCCGAUACUGACGCUGAGGAGCGAAAGCGUGGGGAGCGAACAGG
RNAcentral lists this ribosomal RNA (254 nucleotides) under uncultured bacterium. RNAcentral's name for it is "partial 16S ribosomal RNA". It matches the Rfam family "Bacterial small subunit ribosomal RNA", at positions 524 to 776 of the family's 1533-position model. The record is from RNAcentral.